GAUGAACGCUGGCGGCGUGCUUAACACAUGCAAGUCGAACGAAGAUGCCGGAGUGCUUGCACUUUGGCAGACUGAGUGGCGGACGGGUGAGUAACGCGUGGGUAACCUGCCUUAUACAGGGGGAUAACAGUUGGAAACGACUGCUAAUACCGCAUAAGCGCACGGUAUCGCAUGAUACAGUGUGAAAAACUCCGGUGGUAAACGAUGGGGAAGCGUUCCAUUAGGUAGUAGGCGGGGUAACGGCCCACCUAGCCGACGAUGGAUAGGGGUUCUGAGAGGAAGGUCCCCCACAUUGGAACUGAGACACGGUCCAAACUCCUACGGGAGGCAGCAGUGAGGAAUAUUGGUCAAUGGGCGAGAGCCUGAACCAGCCAAGUAGCGUGAAGGAUGAAGGUCCUACGGAUUGUAAACUUCUUUUAUACGGGAAUAAAGUAUCCUACGUGUAGGAUUUUGUAUGUACCGUAUGAAUAAGCAUCGGCUAACUCCGUG
This 489-nucleotide ribosomal RNA is filed under the name uncultured bacterium. Its description in RNAcentral is "bacterial SSU rRNA". It matches the Rfam family "Bacterial small subunit ribosomal RNA", at positions 28 to 507 of the family's 1533-position model. The record is from RNAcentral.